This is a long non-coding RNA of Bombus impatiens (common eastern bumble bee), 2156 nucleotides long. RefSeq lists it as uncharacterized. The transcript is spliced from 2 exons. NCBI's taxonomy places the organism in Eukaryota, Metazoa, Arthropoda, Insecta, Hymenoptera, Apidae. The record is from RefSeq and is a predicted model, not a curated record.
GUGAUUCGGACGUUGUCUGUUGUGACACCACCAUCGAUUUCUUCCUCUUUCGGCCGAUACGAAGUGGAAAACUGGUCCGUGUCGAUGGGAGAGGUGUCUGUCUGCUCGGUUCCAGCAACGAAGACGUGGCCUAUCGUUAAUGGAAAUCAGCCACGAAUCGAGCCGGUUUUUCGAUGCGUACCACGCGGAACCGACGACCACACAUAAACGCACCAGACACACCGUGUGGAGAUGCUUCUCGAUGGCGGCCUCGAAUUCUCAGUCCCGGACGACGCCUACACCACCACCACGUACCACCUUAAUAGCUGUGCUUUCCCGGACUCACGGGACUCGACUGGGCUCCGCCAGGCCACGAUAUCCCCGCCGCACUUGCGCCAACCGGCUAUUGCUCCUACCCUUCGCGAAGAUAUACUAACCGUUCCUCGUUCUUACGCCCACCCCCAGCGCAGUUCUAUUACCCGUGCAGACUAACUGAACCCCUGCGGAGCUCCCACGCCCGCGAAACAGCCAAUGCUGGAGCCUCUCCGCAGGACCGUCUAACCUCGACCAAGGGCGCCAACCUACCGAAUACGUUUUCUGUUUCUUAACCAACAUUAUGAUACACCGGUGUAGAAGCAAUGUUUUGUGGUUAUUAAUUAUUGUUAGAAGUAUCGGUGGUAGUAGAAUUAAAAUUCAUUCUUAAAUAAUAAAAACUGAUCGCCGACAAAGGGUUUUUAACAAUACAAAUAAAUAUAAAGUAAGUUUUGUUGAAUAAAAUGAAAUUAAAGUAGAUAAAUAUGUAUAGAUUUUCUACCUAAAGGCUUUGCGUAGGAUUAUUGUAGGUUAAGAAAUAAGGAGAAUUUAUUACGUAGGGAAUACGUUUGUAAAACGAGGGUCCCAAUUCCUCAAUAUACGGGUCUAGCACUCGCCCCGUUGAAUCGUGUUGUGACUGGGUAAACGAACGAAAUACUCUAAUGGUCUACGUUCGUCUGUUUCCAUUUGUUUCUUCGAACCCAUGAAACAAACGACAAUCGCGUGAUAAUAUUUUAAUCAUUGUUUCAUCCCGAUUUUAUAGUAUCACGUCAAACAAAGAGAGUUACAUAUGUAUAACAUUACACAACUUUAAUGACAAGUAUAGAGGGAGGAAAUAGAAGAGGAAUGAGUGUAUAUGUAAAUACACAUCCCUUCACCCGGACCCUUAUGAAGAAACGCGCAAUAGAGAGAAAUAUGAGAUGGGUAAAAACGAAAAGUAUCCAUUUUUCGUGAUUUUCUAUUUAACACAUUUUCACAAUCAUAACACAAAUCACAAUGAUUGUGAUGUUCAAAAUUUCUCUAUAUAAUAGCGUUAAAAUUUGGUGUACUUAAAAAUUGUUUAUUUAACCUAAUCAUACCUACAUAAAAAUAUGAUUACUUCGAAAUAUGCCAUUCUCGAUAAAUUCUUGUGCACGAUUCCGUAACAAGAUAUAAGCAAUUUUUUUUAUACUUAUAUAUUAUUAGUAUCUUAAGAAAAUACAUCGUGUUAUUACUUUCAUGUAAAAUCUAUCUAUAGUUAAAGAGAUUUUUAUCCAUUCCAUUUCUUUAUAAAUAUAUCUUAUGUUAUUUCGUCAAAAUAUUCAGAUAUAGGCGUGGAAAGCGAGCAGCGUUGAUCGUUUGACGAAAAAAUUUGCCGAUUCUUACGCGGGGUUGACCGUUCAAAUUUUUCUCCGUCUCUUUGAAGUUACCGGCUCCGCUGUUCGGCUUAGCUGAUAUCCAUUCCGCGAACAUCGGUCACGGCACGUAAAGGGGCCCACUUGAGCGUUGAUUUCUCAUUGCGGGACAUUGUUCGACGACUUUAACGAUGCAAUUAAUCCUGGAAGCUUGAUCGCUAGAAUACUCUGUCGACAGACGAAAUGUAUGCCUCGUCGAACCGGUGUCGUGCCAGCAGCUUAAUUAAUCAUCAUACGAUAGAACUUAACGACUUAAUCUUAAGGUAAGGUUAUGAACUAUUUAACACACGAGUGUCGUGUCGUCUGUGUCGUGGCAUCGAACAGUUGUUAAAUAUGAGACGACGGGUGUUAAGUUAAUAUUAACAUAUUAUCAAUCCCGCGAAUCUAUGUACUAUGUACAUACUGGCUACCGGGCAUCUUUUGUUUAAGACGUAUAGUAACAUUCUUAUUUAUAUAUCAUAUAGAAAAAAA